AACGAACGCUGGCGGCAGGCUUAACACAUGCAAGUCGAGCGCCCCGCAAGGGGAGCGGCAGACGGGUGAGUAACGCGUGGGAACGUACCUUUUGGUUCGGAACAACUCCGGGAAACUGGAGCUAAUACCGGAUAAGCCCUAACGGGGAAAGAUUUAUCGCCGAAAGAUCGGCCCGCGUCUGAUUAGCUAGUUGGUGAGGUAACGGCUCACCAAGGCGACGAUCAGUAGCUGGUCUGAGAGGAUGAUCAGCCACACUGGGACUGAGACACGGCCCAGACUCCUACGGGAGGCAGCAGUGGGGAAUAUUGGACGAUGGGCGCAAGCCUGAUCCAGCCAUGCCGCGCGAGUGAUGAAGGCCUUAGGGUUGUAAAGCUCUUUUGUCCGGGAAGAUAAUGACUGUACCGGAAGAAUAAGCCCCGGCUAACUUCGUG
RNAcentral lists this ribosomal RNA (431 nucleotides) under uncultured bacterium. RNAcentral's name for it is "partial 16S ribosomal RNA". It matches the Rfam family "Bacterial small subunit ribosomal RNA", at positions 29 to 507 of the family's 1533-position model. The record is from RNAcentral.